Molecule: ribosomal RNA, 250 nt
Filed under: uncultured prokaryote
Description: partial 16S ribosomal RNA
Rfam family: Bacterial small subunit ribosomal RNA
Source: RNAcentral
UACGGAAGGUCCGGGCGUUAUCCGGAUUUAUUGGGUUUAAAGGGAGCGCAGGCGGGCCUGCCAAGCGUGCCGUGAAAGCGCGGGGCUCAACCCCGUAGAGCGGCGCGAACUGGCGGCCUUGGUUGCGGGAAGGGGAGGCGGAACUCGUGGUGUAGCGGUGAAAUGCAUAGAUAUCACGAAGAACUCCGAUCGCGAAGGCAGCCUCCCGGCCCGUGAACGACGCUCAUGCUAGAAGGCGCGGGUAUCAAAC